CCUACGGGAGGCAGCAGUGAGGAAUAUUGGUCAAUGGGCGCAAGCCUGAACCAGCCAUCCCGCGUGCAGGAUGACGGCCCUAUGGGUUGUAAACUGCUUUUGUACAGGAAGAAAAAUCCCGAUGUAUCGGGACUUGCCGGUACUGUGCGAAUAAGCAUCGGCUAACUCCGUGCCAGCAGCCGCGGUAAUACGGAGGAUGCAAGCGUUAUCCGGAUUCAUUGGGUUUAAAGGGUGCGUAGGCGGCUAUUUAAGUCAGUGGUGAAAUCUUGCCGCUU
RNAcentral lists this ribosomal RNA (275 nucleotides) under uncultured bacterium. Its description in RNAcentral is "partial 16S ribosomal RNA". It matches the Rfam family "Bacterial small subunit ribosomal RNA", at positions 338 to 610 of the family's 1533-position model. The record is from RNAcentral.